MicroRNA precursor from Gallus gallus (chicken), 110 nucleotides. The record is from Ensembl. NCBI's taxonomy places the organism in Eukaryota, Metazoa, Chordata, Aves, Galliformes, Phasianidae.
AGUCUAUGAGGCCAUAAGACAUACUUCUCAGGGUUCUGAAGGAGCUGGCUGAGGUGGUUACUGAGCCAUUCUCCAUCACAUUUGAAAAGUCAUGGAUGACUGGAGGACUG